Tetranychus urticae (two-spotted spider mite) is the source of this 1199-nucleotide long non-coding RNA. RefSeq lists it as uncharacterized. NCBI's taxonomy places the organism in Eukaryota, Metazoa, Arthropoda, Arachnida, Trombidiformes, Tetranychidae. The record is from RefSeq and is a predicted model, not a curated record.
UUGUCUACUUUCUUUCUGUUUUCCUUUCAAAAUUUGUCUACUCUUAUUUCAAUUAAGUGAAAGUCAAUUACUACCAUGAUUAUUUUCAUCAACAACACCAGGAACACCACCAAUAAUUUCAACAGGCAAUGAACAAUAUUACAAGUUGCUAUGGUGCAAACAAUAAUAAACUUCAAUUUCCAGCUAUGAUCUCAAUCAAAUGUGAAAAUAAAUUCAACAAUUCUGGAAUGAUGAGUAACUUGGUUGAUUUACUUCUUCUUGGUUCAAAAUAUCUAAAUUUGCUGGUAAUCGUAACCUUCAAAAGGCUUGGUGUUGUGUCACUGGCUUACUGGCAUUGAAUUGCAGCUAAUUUUCAAUUUUGAUAUAAUUAGAGGCCAAGAGGGGUUGUUAAUUUGUCCAUUAACUAUGCGUUAAUGUGAUCAUCUUAUUUGCAACGAAAUUUUUGAUCUUUACGUAACUUCUAAAAAUGGAAAGCAAUUCACUCUCUGAAUAUACUUUUGUACAAUGGAACUGCUGGAGCUUGUAAAGUGUCAUCGGCAAUUUGACAAAAAAAUAUCCAAGAACCUUGAAUUUGGUGUAAAUAAUGAGCACUCACAAAACGUUUUUUUGCUUGGUAUCUAAAUAUCCGUACAAUUUCAGAUUAAUUUACUAAAGAUGAGCUGAUCUAUAACAUGGUUCUACAAUUUUAUUAUCUAUUGGUGUAAGCGCUAUUAAGAAAGGGUAAUAAUUACUCUUAUAUGUGCAUUUAUAGCACACUUCUGGAAGGAGCUUUUGGAAAAGCAUUUUAUAUUGCUGUCACAAAUGAUGUUCUCAUUGUGUACUUAAAAGGAAAAUUGAACAAACUUCAAUGCCUGCAUGAUUCUAAUAUUACAACACUGACCACUGAUCAUAUUGAUUAUCAUCAUAAUUACGGAAACACCAUCAUCAUAAACCACCCAAAUAUAUAAUGCUCUUAAGGCUGCAAGCAAAAAAAAUGAUGACUAUUGAAAUAAGCUCUGAUUGAGUAGGAAGAAUACAAUUUGAACGACUCCACCUUCAUCAAGGAUAUCAUGUUCACCUAAUCCAUCAAGUUGACAUGAUUGUGCAAAAAAAGUCGCUAUUUCAAACGAGUAUUCAGAGUCAAGAGAAAGAGAAAAUGCUUAGUAAGGUAAACAAACGAUCAUUUUCAUCCGACUGAACACUUAAUCCUGACUAUUAAC